AUCAAAAACAUAAAUCUACUUGCUAUUACAAGCAUUCAUCUCAGCUAUUACAUUUUACAUUCCACAUUACAUUCUUUUACAUUGAUCCUCAACUUCCAAUUAUACAAUUUAGUUCUUAACAUACUUAUUACAAUAUUGUUGUAAGGAAGCGAAUUCUCGAAACUCGAGUAUUAGAUUUCGAUCAGAAUCGACUAGUGGUCGAGUGUGUAAUCUUCGGAAAGUCCGAAGGUGA
This 232-nucleotide long non-coding RNA is filed under the name Ananas comosus (pineapple). RNAcentral describes it as "long non-coding RNA (ACOM_LNC041061)". The record is from RNAcentral. Lineage: Eukaryota; Viridiplantae; Streptophyta; Magnoliopsida; Poales; Bromeliaceae.